CGUGUCGCUGGCCGGAGUCGACGAGGUGAUCGGCUCGCGCCUGACCUGAAGGUCACUGCCAUCGGGAUACAGAUGUUCAAGUGAUCCCGGCGUGA
This 95-nucleotide transfer RNA is filed under the name freshwater metagenome. RNAcentral describes it as "tRNA-Ala". RNAcentral also lists the same sequence under 1 other name. The record is from RNAcentral.